This 868-nucleotide ribosomal RNA is filed under the name uncultured bacterium. RNAcentral's name for it is "bacterial SSU rRNA". It matches the Rfam family "Bacterial small subunit ribosomal RNA", at positions 94 to 958 of the family's 1533-position model. The record is from RNAcentral.
AGCGGCGGACGGGUGAGUAAUGUCUGGGAAACUGCCUGAUGGAGGGGGAUAACUACUGGAAACGGUAGCUAAUACCGCAUAACGUCGCAAGACCAAAGUGGGGGACCUUCGGGCCUCAUGCCAUCAGAUGUGCCCAGAUGGGAUUAGCUAGUAGGUGAGGUAAUGGCUCACCUAGGCGACGAUCCCUAGCUGGUCUGAGAGGAUGACCAGCCACACUGGAACUGAGACACGGUCCAGACUCCUACGGGAGGCAGCAGUGGGGAAUAUUGCACAAUGGGCGCAAGCCUGAUGCAGCCAUGCCGCGUGUAUGAAGAAGGCCUUCGGGUUGUAAAGUACUUUCAGCGAGGAGGAAGGCGUUAAGGUUAAUAACCUUGACGAUUGACGUUACUCGCAGAAGAAGCACCGGCUAACUACGUGCCAGCAGCCGCGGUAAUACGUAGGGUGCAAGCGUUAAUCGGAAUUACUGGGCGUAAAGCGUGCGCAGGCGGUUUUGUAAGUCUGAUGUGAAAUCCCCGGGCUCAACCUGGGAAUUGCAUUGGAGACUGCAAGGCUAGAAUCUGGCAGAGGGGGGUAGAAUUCCACGUGUAGCAGUGAAAUGCGUAGAUAUGCGGAGGAACACCGAUGGCGAAGGCAGCCCCCUGGGUCAAGAUUGACGCUCAUGCACGAAAGCGUGGGGAGCAAACAGGAUUAGAUACCCUGGUAGUCCACGCCCUAAACGAUGUCUACUAGUUGUCGGGUCUUAAUUGACUUGGUAACGCAGCUAACGCGUGAAGUAGACCGCCUGGGGAGUACGGUCGCAAGAUUAAAACUCAAAGGAAUUGACGGGGACCCGCACAAGCGGUGGAUGAUGUGGAUUAAUUUCGAUGCA